GGAUUAUGGAGGAGAAAGCAAGAGGAGCCCACCAGGGCUUUAGAUGCCAAAGAAGUCUGUUUUCAUGCACAUGACCCUUCAGGUCAGCUUUGGUCAACUCAACUUUGUUAGCAAAAGAAUGGAAAAAAGCGAAAACAAUAAACCAGAGAUAGCACAAUCACCAAUUGUGGAAGACUCCAUCUAUG
Lacerta agilis (Sand lizard) is the source of this 185-nucleotide long non-coding RNA. RefSeq lists it as uncharacterized. The record is from RefSeq and is a predicted model, not a curated record. NCBI's taxonomy places the organism in Eukaryota, Metazoa, Chordata, Lepidosauria, Squamata, Lacertidae. The transcript has 3 exons.